CUAGCGACUUCAGAGUUUGAUCCUGGCUCAGGAUGAAUGCUGGCGGCGUGCCUAAUACAUGCAAGUCGAGCGGUAACAGGGUUUCACCGUGUUCUUGACACUCCGGGCUUUAAGCAGGAGGUUAGAUUUCGAGGACACCGUGAAGCUGCUGACGAGCGGCGGACGGCUGAGUAACGCGUGGGAACAUACCCCAAACUGAGGGAUAACGCACCGAAAGGUGUGCUAAUACCGCAUAUGAUCUUCGGAUUAAAGCUUCGGCGGUUUGGGAAUGGCCUGCGUACGAUUAGAUAGUUGGUGAGGUAAUGGCUCACCAAGUCGACGAUCGUUAGAUGGUUUGAGAGGAUGAUCAUCCAGACUGGGACUGAGACACGGCCCAG
RNAcentral lists this ribosomal RNA (377 nucleotides) under uncultured bacterium. RNAcentral describes it as "bacterial SSU rRNA". It matches the Rfam family "Bacterial small subunit ribosomal RNA", at positions 1 to 334 of the family's 1533-position model. The record is from RNAcentral.